GUGGGGAAUCUUCCACAAUGGACGAAAGUCUGAUGGAGCAACGCCGCGUGAGUGAAGAAGGUCUUCGGAUCGUAAAGCUCUGUUGUCAGGGACGAAUGUUGAGACUGUAAAUAAUGGUUUCAAAUGACGGUACCUGACGAGGAAGCCACGGCUAACUACGUGCCAGCAGCCGCGGUAAUACGUAGGUGGCGAGCGUUGUCCGGAAUUAUUGGGCGUAAAGGGAGCGCAGGUGGGAAAGUAAGUCUGUCUUAAAAGUGCGGGGCUCAACCACGUGAGGGGACAGAAACUAUUUUUCUUGAGUGCAGGAGAGGAAAGCGGAAUUCCUAGUGUAGCGGUGAAAUGCGUAGAUAUUAGGAGGAACACCAGUGGCGAAGGCGGCUUUCUGGACUGUAACUGACACUGAGGCUCGAAAGCCAGGGGAGCGAACGGGAUUAGAAACCCCUGAGUCC
Molecule: ribosomal RNA, 449 nt
Filed under: uncultured bacterium
Lineage: Bacteria
Description: partial 16S ribosomal RNA
Rfam family: Bacterial small subunit ribosomal RNA
Source: RNAcentral